This 381-nucleotide ribosomal RNA is filed under the name uncultured bacterium. Its description in RNAcentral is "bacterial SSU rRNA". It matches the Rfam family "Bacterial small subunit ribosomal RNA", at positions 30 to 412 of the family's 1533-position model. The record is from RNAcentral.
AUUGAACGCUGGCGGCAUGCCUUACACAUGCAAGUCGAACGGCAGCGCGGGGCAACCUGGCGGCGAGUGGCGAACGGGUGAGUAAUAUAUCGGAACAUACCCUAGAGUGGGGGAUAACGUAGCGAAAGUUACGCUAAUACCGCAUACGCACUAAGGUGGAAAGUGGGGGAUCUUCGGACCUCAUGCUCAUGGAGUGGCCGAUAUCUGAUUAGCUAGUUGGUGAGGUAAAGGCUCACCAAGGCGACGAUCAGUAGCUGGUUUGAGAGAACGACCAGCCACACUGGAACUGAGACACGGUCCAGACUCCUACGGGAGGCAGCAGUGGGGAAUUUUGGACAAUGGGGGGCAACCCUGAUCCAGCAAUGCCGCGUGAGUGAAGAA